UAUCUGCACUGCGGUGACAGCAGCCGGCGCCGGGAGAUAAGCGUCUCCUUGAGAUGGAAGGGAGUUUCUGGGGGAGCUCGUGGAGUUUGCUGUGUAGCUGGGUGCAGAUGUGGCCAGGGCCGGGGCCCGGAGCCCCGGGCGCUGCAGCGGGCACAUGUGCCAGCCUUCCCGAGCCGGGUGCCGGGCUGGGCACAGCAGCAGCCGCAGCCCUGCACUGGCCGCAGACAGGAGCCAGGCAGAGGGGCUGUGCGGGGCACCCGCCCUUCCUCUUCCUCGCCGCUCCCAAGGGCUGCUCCUGGGAUUUCAGAGCUGCUCCGGCUGCCAGGGAAGGAAGGUCCUGUCAGCUGCACGCACUGAUAAACACGGCACGGCCUUCUGGGGAGAGAGAACUCUCCUCUUCUCCUCCGUGACCCUCUGAAGCCUGGAAUAAAAUCCAAACAAAAACGUUGAUGCUGAUGGGAAUCCUUCCGUGCUCCAAAUAUAGGCACAACUUCAGUGGACUUUGAGUCUUCUUGAGUCUUUGAGUCUUCUUUCAAGCAGUGAAAAAUCAAAGGUAGUGAGUCUGUAUUCCUGAUAAUGUAAUUAUGUAUUUUUCAGCUUUUUGAUGUGUAGCAGUUAAGGGACUGCAGGCACUUGCUGUGGUGCUGGAGCUUUGCAGGCUGCUGGGAAGGAAGUCCCUGGGCAGAUCUCUGCUGCUUAUCACUGUUUUAUUGAGCUCCUGUAUUUAUGUGCAAAUAUAUUCAAUAAAUAAAUCUUUAAUGAUGUGAUUUUUGUUGUGAAAAGUAGACACAGCUCCGUUCGAUUCUUCUAAUUAAAUACAUCUAAUGGUGGGACAGAAAUAAAAGCAUCUGAACUUCUUUCACUCACUUUUCCACAUGACCGCCAAAAUAAUUGCUUUGGAUUUGGUUUGGUUCCUACAACUUCUGAGCAUUCUGUCUUUAAUCACCAUUUUUAUAAAAGCUAGGUUUUCUCAAGUCAUUUCAGAAGCUGUUUUCCAAAUAUCCCACGUUUUUGUGUAAGAGCAGGAAUUUAAACUUUCAUUCUUGGUGUUUCAAAAUGGCUUUUAGAGGUAGAAGGGAAAAUACAAAGAGAAUAGUAAUCUUUCGAGGUUUUUCCAAAAUGCUUUCAUUGUGUUUAAUUUGGGUAGCUUGCUAUGUUAAUGAAAAAGGGGACACCUUGAGGAAAGCCCAAGUAGAGGAUGGAGUGUUCUGUGUGAGAAAUACUAUGGGACAGUUUCAGUGGCAGCACCGGUGCCACACGCGCAGGGAGCAGCCCAGCCCAGGAGCCCCUUUGUGACUUGUCCCCCAAAGCUCUGCAGCCUGAGGCUGUGUGCAGCUGGGGCUGGUAGAGGCUUCUUCCUCAUGGUUAUUGUUAGCAUGAUUGGAAAUGAACAAGCCUAACAAUAUACUAAAGCAAAUACUGAUUAACAACUUGUCUCAAAGAUACUUUCCACUUCUUUCCUAAAAUAAAAGUCAUGCAGUUUUUAUUACUUCUUUUUAAUACCAGUGACUAAUUUGGAGCUUUUGCUUGCUAUAUGAAGGCACGUGUAUUUGUUUAGUUUGCGUGAGAUUGGUCACGAUCCAAAAUUAAUCACAUCAGAAGUGUUUCUGUGCUGCUAAGCACUGUAUAUGUAGGGAUUUCUAUUAAGUCAAGGAAGGCAGCUCCUAAACUGGUUUAGUUUUGUUGUGUGUGGAAAAAUAAUUUCGUAUUUAGAGUAUAACAGUCAUCUCUGAUACCUCAGAUGGUGGCAGAGCAGAGAGAAUUAAAAAUCCCAUUCUCUGUGGUUUAGAUUCUUAUGUAACUACUGAAAUAGAUUAUAUAGAUUUGUUGUAUUUUCUGAGAAGCUGUACAAGUUUUCAUUAUGCUGGAAGGAUGUGAUUAUAAACAUAAAUUAAAUGUAAGGCCAGAAUGAAUCAAAGCAUGGGAAGUGCUCUAUUUUGGAUCUGAGAUUCCCUGAGAAACAGCCAGCUGUGAAUGCAAAUGCAGUGGGCUGUGUCUCCUGUCUCCCAGCAGAUGCUGGAGUGUUUUCCAGGGCUGUCCUUGCCGUGUGAUUCACGUUGGUGACUGGAGUCGGGCGGUGGCUCCCUGCUCCCGGUGUCCCCAGCAUGGCAGUGCUGCCAGCUGUGGUGCUGUGUGCUUUCAGAGCUGUGGGACUGGGGUGCCUCUGGCCGUGCUGCAGAGCCAGGUUUGCCCCUUGGGCAGCAGUCCUUCGGUCCACGCUGAACUGCUCUGAGGACUCUGCUGUCCCUCAUUCCCCUGUAACUUGCUGGUCCCUGGGGAGGAGCAGGUGACUGUCCCUGCAUCGCCAUAGCUCGCCGUGGCUGAGCUGAAGUGACCAGUUCUCAGAUCUGCUGCAAGCAGAACUCGGUGGAACGAGUUCCUCAUCAGCUGGACUCCCUUUUCGGUUGCCCUCAAGUCAGAUGCAGGAUGAAGCAAUCCAUAAUUACCAUAGCUCCAAUGGGCCUGGCUGGCAGUGUGCCUGUUAUGCAGCAGAGAGCAGCAAGGUGUCCCCCAUGGAAUUGUGUCCCACUGAGGUCCACGUGUCCUCAGGGCCAGGAGAGCUGCUGGCAUUGUCACUGGGAGCGGGAUGACACACCAGCGUGGAGCAGGUGACAGGAAUGGCCUCUUCUCUUCCUGGUAAUUGGGUUCAGAUUUAAUCUUGCUAGUUAAUUUGAUGUGUGCAGGGAUGUGGUGGCUGCAUCCAGACUCCUGACUCAAAAUUAUUGUCCUAAUGAAGUGGUUGUCAUGUGAACAGGCAAGAACUUUGAAAUGUGGAGUUUUUGCUGUGGGCCAAGGUGGGAGGGGUGGCCCAGCCAGGGAUGAGUUUGUGAGGCCAAGGGGAGAAGCUUAUUGUCUGGAAGAAGUGCUACUAUUAAUAAAUCAAUAAUGUUAGUCGUGGCCAUGUGUACGUCCUGAUCAAUCAGGUGCUGACUGCAGUGGUCUCUUAGGUCUCUUUUUUCCCCCUGCUUUAUCCAGCUGUCUCAGGGGAAGAAAAGGCCACCCUUUGCACCAGGGCCACAUGGCAGCUGCAUUAGGAAGGGAAGUGGAAACCUGAGCAGUAAAAUAAGGUGCUGUCUGUUUUCCCUUCGGUGCAGGGCAUGUUCAGGCAUCAGACCCGCAGGAAGCCGGGGUUGGUGCCUGCUGCACCUCUCACCAGUGAGAGGUCACUUCUCCCUGAAACCAUCAGCAUCAGCUGAAUUUGGUGUCAGAGGGAAGCAGUUCCUUCCCUUGCUGAGUCAUGGACGUGGCUUUCUUUCUGCAGGGAUUCUUAUUAUGGAUGAUGCUAAUCAUGAUGUUUUAUAUAAAUUCACACUCACACGUGCAGCUAGAAAUGACCUGUCACUAUGGGACAGUUUCUGCCUCUUAGCUACUGCUGCAGGUGCCCCCCAGCUCUGAAUCUCGCUGGUGGGACUCAUCCUGGGGUUUGCCAUGUGGCUGUUCUGGAGGACAGCACCCAGCACCCACUGAGACAGGAGAUGAGCUAGAGAGUCACAGCUCCAUGGAGCAGAGUCAGGGGUCUGUUCACACACCCUGUGCUGCCCUGGGGAGAGCUGGGCUGGGGGCCCAGCUCCUGGGCUGACCCCGCUGCCGUGGCUCACCUUGCUGCUCUCCUGCCUUGCUUGGCUUGUGUACAUUUGCAGUUAAUCAAACAAAACGCGCAAGAGUCGGAUUAAUAAAUAGCUUGUAGUUUUUGGAAGGCUGCGUAGUUGAUUUAUUGUGGCCUCUCAAAUAUCUUUGUAUAGAAACAACAUGUUUAAAAUUACUAUUAGAACAAAAAAAUAAAACUGAUUUUGAUAAAGCAGGUUUUAUUUUGUCAAUUUGGUUUGUUACUUCUUGGAUUUUUAACUUAAAUUAGAUUGCUGUUAUUUUUAAAGAUAAGCAACUUAUUUUUAGAUUUGCUUGAGCAAUGUCACUUCCUUUUUGGUGGAAUCCCCUAUGCCAGGAUAAUAGAGAAUUUCCCAUUUCUAAAAUACAUUAUGUGAAUGUUAUGGCAAAGGAAUUACAGUGUGAUUAUGUUUUUAUUGCCAGAAACAGUAUUUGCAACUUCAGUGGUGGGUGGGGAUGGAUAUGUAAAUGCUUUGUAAUACAUAAAUUGAUGAAAAGUGGAUUAAAGGGAAAGUGGUCCUUUCCCAUUUUGUGUCCCUGGCAUAAGGUUGCAAGAACAGAGUAACAGCUUGUGUGCCACUCCUUGUCCAGAGACAGGGACUGGCCUGUGCCUGUUCUUGCUCUUUAAUACACACCCGGCUAAUGCUGUCAGACUGAACCCUGUGUGUCCCUGAAGUCUCGAAUUUUGUAACAGAGAUUGAUAUAUACCCCAGGUUAUUAAAAAAAAAAAAAA
Non-coding RNA from Cyanistes caeruleus (blue tit), 4339 nucleotides. The record is from RefSeq and is a predicted model, not a curated record. Lineage: Eukaryota; Metazoa; Chordata; Aves; Passeriformes; Paridae.